GAAUAGAAUUUGAGGUCUGACCUGCCCACUGAAUUAUUAAAUGGCCGCAGUAAUUUGACUGUGCAAAGGUAGCAUAAUCAUUAGUUUUUUAAUUAAAAGCUUGUAUGAAUGGUUGGACGAAAUAAAUACUGUCUUUAAAUAAUAAAUAGAAUUUAAUUUUUAAGUUAAAAAGCUUAAAUAUUUAUAAAAGACGAGAAGACCCUAUAGAUCUUUAUAUUAUUUUAUAUAUAUUUAAUUAAGAUUAUUUUAUUAUUUAUAUUUAAUAAUAUUUUAUUGGGGUAAUAAAAAGAUUAAAUUAAUUCUUUAUUAUUUUAAAUAUUAAUUAAUAGAUUUUUGAUCCUUUAUUAGAGAUUAUAACAUUAAGUUACCUUAGGGAUAACAGCGUAAUUUUUUUAAAGAGUUCAUAUCGAUAAAAAAGUUUGCGACCUCGAUGUUGGAUUAAAAAUUAUUCUAGGUGUAGUAGUUUAGAAUUUUGGUCUGUUCGACCAUUAAAUUUUUACAUGAUCUGAGUUCAGACCGGYGUAAGCCAGGUCGGUUUCUAUCUUUAUUUAAUUAAUAUAUUUUAGUACGAAAGGACCAAAUAUAAAUUAUAUUUAUAAUUAAAYUUUUGAAUUAUA
RNAcentral lists this ribosomal RNA (617 nucleotides) under Paroster couragei. Its description in RNAcentral is "partial 16S ribosomal RNA". The stretch from base 375 to 533 matches the Rfam family "Bacterial large subunit ribosomal RNA", at positions 2473 to 2632 of the family's 2925-position model. The record is from RNAcentral. Lineage: Eukaryota; Metazoa; Arthropoda; Insecta; Coleoptera; Dytiscidae.